CGGGGUAUAGCGCAGCCUGGUAGCGCGCCUGCUUCGGGAGCAGGAAGUCGCUGGUUCGAAUCCAGCUACCCCGACCA
Molecule: transfer RNA, 77 nt
Filed under: Alphaproteobacteria bacterium
Lineage: Bacteria; Pseudomonadati; Pseudomonadota; Alphaproteobacteria
Also listed under: 2 other names
Description: tRNA-Pro
Rfam family: tRNA
About the family: Transfer RNA (tRNA) molecules are approximately 80 nucleotides in length. Their secondary structure includes four short double-helical elements and three loops (D, anti-codon, and T loops).
Source: RNAcentral